RNAcentral lists this long non-coding RNA (474 nucleotides) under Dermacentor andersoni. RNAcentral's name for it is "uncharacterized LOC126542169". Lineage: Eukaryota; Metazoa; Arthropoda; Arachnida; Ixodida; Ixodidae. The record is from RNAcentral.
UUUUGCUACGACGUAGUGGGAACUGAAAAUGAAGUGAUCUGUGACUAUUCACUCCGCACUUGCACAAACAUGACGGCGUCGUUGCUGCUGGUAUGUGCAAGCGUCGUGACGCUGCUGCUUUGGCCUCAAAUAGCAACGAAGCCGACCAUCCCUGGAAGGAAACCGAGGUUGAAUGCAGACGUCCCCGUGUGUCCCAACCUACCUACCGACGAAACGUACCAAUGUCCGAAGCUACCGUCGCCGGAAACGUGUGCCGAUCUCAACUGUGAGGCCGAAUAGUUGAAAUGUUGCAUCGGCGUCUGCACAAUUCCUACCUGCGCCUGAGCAACAUGGCUUAAGUUAUUCUCAGCAGCCUUACGGAGUUCUAUAUGCCAUUACGGUAUAGGUGCUCAAAGCGCGAAAGCUGCCGCUCUUUCACAGUAAGAACGCCCGCCAAUUUCUUGUUUGUAAAAUAAAAGCUUUCUGAAAACGUUC